CUUCCCCGGCGCCCCGAGCGCGCUGUACGGAUAAACAAACAGACUCCCGCCGUGAUGGACACGAGUGCGUGGGGCGCUGCCCGGCUCUGUAACGAGAAGCUUUUAAUAAAAUCUGUGCUCGGAAGCCGGGGCAGCGCUUGGUCUGGUGGUUCGCUGUUACUCCGUCUCCGGGAGGCCGCGCCGGGCAGCGGUGCCGGUCACCCAACACCGCGCUCCGGGCGGGACCCGCGGGCAGAGCCCGAGCCCGGCGCGCAGGUCACGUAACAGGGAUACGGUUCCCUCUUGCCGCGCUGCUUCUCCCCUGGUAGUAUUUUUAACCCAAAGUGAACUUGAGCCAGACUGCGGCUGGUAAAUCUCGGUUUGGGAUUUGCUUUUGCCAGUUUUCCACAGACUUGGGUGCUGCACAGCGAACAGGAUUUGACCUCUAUCCCAGCUUUUAUAACAAAUGUCAGCUCAAAUGCCUUUUUCCGCCUUACACCAGCCUUGCCUUGCUGCAGCUGGGGGGCUUUUUUUCCUCUUUUCUUGCCUAGAAUAGAAGGCAGUGUUUUGACUUUGUUCUAAUUUCAAAUCCUGGAUAGCUGCAAUUUUGUGUUACAGUAGUAAGCAAAAACAACGUGGCAGACUUCAAAAACUUUUUAAGCAAAGAUUGUUACACCUCUUAAAUAAGUACAAAGAUAAAAAGUUUUAAAUAAUGGUCAUAUGAUUUUUGUUCAUGAAACACUUUUUAAAUUUUUGUGUCUUCCUCCUAAAUAUUGGAAUGCCUGCUCACAAUCUGCUUCUGGAAUAACACCUGUCUUUUUUUUUUUUUUUUUUUCCCCUGGGGUUAGAAAUGUGUUUCCUAUUUCUUAAAUAAAAGACCAGAGACUUCUUAGAAAUAUCAUGUAUCUGUGUUUAGUCCCUUUGUGACCAUCACUAAACACUAUUAUAGAAUAUAGAAAUGAUGAGACUACUUGCAUCCUUUCUUCCUUGUAUCAACAAAUGUGGAUUUAUACAGUAAAAUACGAAGCCACUGAAAUAGGUUUUGUUCAAAAUGGAUAUUUGUGAUUCACAUGUAUACUUCCUUGUAUGUGACUUUGUUUUCUUUCGCUUCCACCACGUCUUUUGAAAUGAAGGCCAAAGAUGCUGUACAUCACUUCACUGUGUAAUACCAACAUGAGAAGAGGGUUUCUAAACUUUUAAUUGAUUAACAGACAUUCAGUAAGAAAUGUAGCUGCUGAUAGUGAUUAAAGAGAGUGUAAUUGUUGGUGUAUUUCAUUCAUUCUUCAUUUGAUGGAAUACGCACUACAUUUUAAAUACAAAAAUGGGACAGAAAAAUCCUUGCUGGUUGUUUUCUGUAGUUUUAGAAAAAAGCAUUUUAUUUUAUUCUCUUUCAUAAUAGAGUGGAAGACUCUCAGAUCCAUAUUUACAAAUACAGAUCUCUGCAUUUCCUCACAAGCUUUGUCCCCUCACAGAUCAGAGAGAAAAGGGAACAGAGAGGUGGUUGUGUAUUUGCUAAGCAUCACUUACUGCAGACCUAAAAUGAAAUUGUUGCAUGUACUAAAGAAGAGUGUAAUCAAUUUUAAUGCUUUCAUUUAAUUGAGAGAACACCAGUAUUCAGAUUUGUACUCUAAAUAUGGUGUUUGGAUCUGCACUGAAUGGUCUGCAUAUAAUCAAUUUUUUUGUCAUAUGUUUGGUGAUAGGUGUGUCUACUAAUCUGGGUAAAAAAAAAGUAAAGAACCAGUCAAACAAAAAAACCCAACACAAAAAACACCCCAAGGGUCUGGAAGGGGGAGAGGGGUGAAUACAGAAGAUUCAAAAACAUCUCGUGUCAAGUCAUCAAUCUGGCAUUUUCUUGGAAACCUGCACCAGCACAGCUAUUGCUAUACAAAAUCUGUAGAUCUUACUCUGCAGAGUAGCUGUUCUGCUGCAGUAAGAAGCAGCCUCUUAUUGCCUAAGUGCAGCUACAGCUCUGUAGGUGCGUAUUUUGAUAGAAGACAAGGCCCCAACUCGGAAUUUCUGUUGGCACCGUUUUGAAACAAAUGGGAUAUUCACACUUCACCUCUAUUUUUGGAUCUCUGGAAGCAAGUGGAGAUCAGUUACUCAUGCCACACUUCUCAAGGCUUUGGUGCAGAGAGAAGGCCGUGUUAGCUUUCUGCCACUAAUCUAACUAAAGUUAGUUUUAUGGGAAGUGACAGGCAGUCCUCAUCUACAGAUCUACCCAAUUCAGUUUGAGCUUCCUGGUACCUUACCUGCACACAGCUUCAUGUUCAUGACAAGGCAGUGAUUUUAUUUUUUUUUUAUUUUUUUUAACUGAUUCAGAAAUUGUGUUGCCUCAUCUGUAGCCUGAGAUCAUAUUUUGUAGUGAUUAGGAAAACCUGAGCAGCCUGCCAUUAAUGAUCUAUGUACAUCCCCCAGCAUGAAAGCAUUGAUACCUAUUUUGUUCUUCAAAGCUUUUUGAUGACUUUAUUGUACUGCAAUUAAAAAGGUGAGUGAGAAUGAAUACAACACCUUCCAGCUUUCCAAAUUUCUAAAACAGCCUUUUCAGCUGCACAGGAGGUGAAAAUGUGCCUGGCUCUAGUUGGCCUUUCAGGUAAAAAAAGCACUCAAAAACAGCCAAGGGUUCUCUACUGCUGUUGUUGUCUGGCAGUGUUGGAUUUAUAGUAUUAUGUGUUAAGUGGAAAAAAAAGUCAGUGUUGGAAGAGCCACUUUAAGAUGAGAGGAUAAAGAAUUUGGAGGAAGCAUGUUCCUGUUUAGAUACAUGUAUAUGGUUUACCUAAAAUAUGUACAUACACACAAGUUUAGAGAAGCGCUGAUACUUGGUAGUACUUGCAGUGAUUUUUGAGUGGAGUGCAGAGAGGUACAGGAUAUUAUCCUAAAAGAAUAAGCAUUCCUGUUUUUGUCCUGAGAUUUGUUAAAAAGAGUUGAUACUUUGUGGGGAAAAAAAAAAUAAAAUAAAACCAUUAGGUGAAAGGUGGAAAAAUGGUUCUGAAGGUAAGAGAGUCCUGCCAAUUGCUGUUCUGGAUUUUGUUACUUUUCAGAUGUUCUCUGAUGGGAGACUGCCCUGGCUACUGGAGACACAGUUGCAGGAAGCCUUGCAGUGAACUGUUUUGAAGCUACCUUAGUGCAGGAAGCUGAAAUAAAAAUCUCUAUCUUUGAUGCUUUCACACUUUUUGGAGGGGAUAGUUAAAGUGAUUUGUAAAAAUCUCUGAUCUUCUAAGUGUAUAGUGAUAGCCUGUUUAGUCAAUGAGGAAAUCAGGAAAACUCCUUUUCCAUGCACAUGGCAGAACUAAAGCUGGAUUGUAUUUUCUUCUUUAGGCAGAAGCUUUUUCAAAUAGAUUUCUAAACUUACAAAAGAGCAGGUAGCCUAAGAAAUCCAGGAAUUCUUUAAGCUUAUCUACUGGCUGAUGACCUGGAACCAUAGCUCCUCAUAGCAUUUUUGGGUAGUAAUACUGGCCAAAGCAUCUUCCAUGUCUUUUCCAUUGCACUUGCACAAAUGCUUGGGCUACUGCGUGGGGAAAUGAUCCAGCUGUUUGAGAGGUGUGGAGCCUGGUUCAUUUUCAUGUGGAUCAUUCCUUUCCCUGAUUGCUGCUGUACCAGUGUAAUCAGGGGAAGGGAUGGGGCUGGAAUGAGCAGGGAGAUAAGGGCAGCUCAAGCAGCUCUGCUGCUAAAUAAGAAAACGCAGCCUAAGUAAAAACUUUUAAAUUAUUGCUGUAUUUAUACCUAAGCUGGAUGGCAUAGAUCCUGCUGGAGUUUUCUUCUUGCCACAGAGCUGGAUCAUUCAGCUAAGUCUGAGUCCUUACAUGUGCUAACCAUGAGCAAAUGAACAUAAGCAACAACUGUUCCCAAACUUCAAUAUCAUGUAUUAAACUGAUUUGUUGUGAUGCUUAUUUACUUGUCUUAAACACCUUUUGUGUAUGUUUUUUAGCAAAUUCUCUGUGCACAUCCUUUACUUCCUUUUUUUUUAUUCUUCACAUUGUAAAUUUGUCUGUGGCUGUUCACUGCAGCUCUUUGCUGCAAUAUUUUAACCAUCUCUUCCAAAACAGCAACCUCCUGUGACAUUUUGGGUCCAAUAUUACGUGCACUUUUUUUAUAGGCGCUACCCUAAAUGUCUCAUUCUCUAUGCUGUUCCAGUAUCAACUGGAUUUUACUUUUCCUUGUACCUUUCCUGGGGCUUGAAUAGCAAAACAUCUUCUCAUCUGUAAAAUCUCUCUCAUUAUCUUUUAUACACCAUUAAAUAAUGGAUGGGAAGCAUUAUUUUCUUGCCUAUUUUUUCUGAUGACACAUCAUCUGGCUGUGUGUAGCUGGCUUGGCCUCAAAAUCCACUGGUGCCUGUCCAUUGCUCCAAGUAGCAUGCAAUAUGAGCAGGAUUUGUACAUUUACACCUUUCUGGAUUGUAGUGAGCUUUCUUUCUCUUGAAAAAAAAAAACAAACCCUAGGGCAUUACUGUAGGUGUGGGACCCCUUCCCUCUUUGUGAAACUCAUCCAGAUUUUCUUAUUGUGCUGAUAGGAAAAAUCUGGGAGACAAAAAGGGAGGGAAUGUGUGAAGAAGGGUACUGUGUAACCAACAAGUAAUCUGUUGCUGUGGUUUUGUCUGAGCUGAUACAACUGUCUGGCUCUCAGGUGACAGUCCUCUUGCCCUCUCCCUCCUGGUGCUGGACCGUCCCUUUACAUUGUCUGUAGUGUUGACUAUAUAUAAAAUGUAAUAAGCCAUUUCAAAUCACUAACCCAGGACAGAACUGUCCGAACUGUCCUUUUUAGUAGAUCAUUUUCUCCUGCAUGAGUGAGCUGAAUUGCCUGGUGAUUGAGAUGCUGUUAGCACAAGCACCAAUGCAGAUUUGCAGUGACAGUAGGGGAGGGAAGGAGGGGGUCACAGCUUUCUCCCUUCAGCAGCAGAGAGCUGUGUCAGCAGACCCAUCUUGGGGAAUGGCAGCAUAUCCAUGACUUAGAGUGAAAGAAAGAAGAGUUGGACUCUGUCCAUAGCAAUCAGAGCCACAUGAGUUUGUCUUUGCAGCUAGGAAAACUAAGAAUGCAGUAAGUCAAAAAAUAAACAAUAGCAACAACAAACCAAACUAGGGAAAUUUCCUUGUUUUAAAAGCCUGGUGACACCUGUGUGACUGAGCUAACUGCUCCUUAUCAGUCUUCUCAAGAGGUUAGGUCAGUGUACCUCUUAGGUACCUUUCUUUAUGGAGAGCCCAGUCAACAGGGUGGAAUUAUACAUAAGAUAUUUUUAAUGAAGCCCUAGUUGAAAUAUGAAGCUCCAGAAGGGGUCCGGGUCCAGCAAUUACGUGCACGUCCUGUCAGUUGGCCCAAGGCACCUGGGCAGUGAGCUGGCUGUAGUGUCUCACUGUAGUGUCACUUUUGCUACAAACUGAUAAGUGCCUUGGCCUGACUUCCAGAUUGUAAAAUAAUUAAUGGUGGCUGAAACUACUGGCCUGGAAGUUGCAGUGUAAAGUUAAUGUGGCAUGUGUAACCAGUGCACAUUACCCUGGACUGGGGAGAGGAAAAAGUAUGUUACCUGCUGCAGAUAGCUGCUUUGUUAGUAACGUGGCUGUUUGAAAAUUACAUUUCUACCCAGUCCUCAGAAAGCUAAAGUUGAUUAUAUAAAAAAAUACUCAUCCUGUUUCCAGCCUCCCAUUCUUAACCAGAGUCAUCACAACAGUAAUCAAAUUACAGAAUAGAGGUGUUUUUUUCAGUAUCUUUGUUGGCUUGCCACAGUCUUGUGACACCUGUACUCAUGAUUUGAUCUACUUUGCUUUCAUUGACAGGCCUGGCUGCAGCAGGGUAGACUCUGCUCCACCUUCCCUGUUCCUGCUCCUGUUCCUGUGCCAGUAGCACCAGUACGACUGCCUGUGAACUGGAUCAGAGAACUGCUCCAGGCUAGAAAUUAGUUGUGUUUCCUUGUCUGUAGUGCAAAUUGGUUGCCCAGUUCCAUUUACUAGACACCUUCACAGACAAGUGUAAAGGUGUAAGAAAGAAAAAAAUUUAGAAGAAACCAGAGCCUGAGCUGGCAGUGCUGCCAGCAGAAAUGCUUGCAAGACUGUGGUUGCAGAAAGCAAAAUGGAGAUUUUCUUUAGUGUGCAACACAUUGAUGUAAAACAUGGAUUCUGUUUCUUCCUCUUGCCCUUUCUGGUACGUCAGCUUGUAAGCUCCCAUUGCUUACUCCGGUCAUUGCAGACCUUCAGCAUUACCAGCAAAUCACACCCCAUGUGAUUUGUUCCAUGGGGACAGCCAUGUUGCUCACAGGGUGGAAAAGGAAACGUUUACUUUAUUAACAGGAAAGUCUCCUGAAUACCUGGGACUUCCCAGAAGAUUUAUGUUUCAGAAAUGUAAAUUUACAUUAAUAUUGCUUUAGAAUGUCAUAUUUAAUCAGUGUGAUCUCUAAGAGCCUUUGGUCCAGUCUUACAGUAUCUAUUCUGAUAAAUUACAUGUGUCUAUUAAUAUUUUCACACUGUAACAGAGACUCUGAAAACAUUUCUUUGGAAUAAAGAGAUUUCAGGUAAUAAUAAACAUGUUUAUUUGGUU
Parus major (Great Tit) is the source of this 6501-nucleotide long non-coding RNA. RefSeq lists it as uncharacterized. Lineage: Eukaryota; Metazoa; Chordata; Aves; Passeriformes; Paridae. The record is from RefSeq and is a predicted model, not a curated record. The transcript has 2 exons.